RNAcentral lists this unclassified non-coding RNA (245 nucleotides) under plant metagenome. RNAcentral's name for it is "partial contains small subunit ribosomal RNA, internal transcribed spacer 1, and 5.8S ribosomal RNA". The stretch from base 1 to 54 matches the Rfam family "Eukaryotic small subunit ribosomal RNA", at positions 1778 to 1831 of the family's 1831-position model. The record is from RNAcentral.
GGAAGUAAAAGUCGUAACAGGGUUUCCGUAGGUGAACCUGCGGAAGGAUCAUUAAAGAGAAUAUGCCCUUCGGGGUAGAUCUCCCACCCUUUGUUUAUAUUACCUUUGUUGCUUUGGCAGGCCCGUCUUCGGACCACCGGCUUCGGCUGGUCAGUGCUUGCCAGAGGACCCAAAACUCUUAUUAUUAAUGUCGUCUGAGUACUAUAUAAUAGUUAAAACUUUCAACAACGGAUCUCUUGGUUCUG